GUUCAGGUAGUUUAUUUAAUAGAAUAAUAAUUUGUGAUGUUAUAGGUGUGUAAUUACUCUGGAUC
RNAcentral lists this transfer RNA (65 nucleotides) under Cletomorpha raja. RNAcentral describes it as "tRNA-His". Lineage: Eukaryota; Metazoa; Arthropoda; Insecta; Hemiptera; Coreidae. The record is from RNAcentral.